RNAcentral lists this long non-coding RNA (844 nucleotides) under Nicotiana tabacum (common tobacco). Its description in RNAcentral is "long non-coding RNA (NTAB_LNC014495)". Lineage: Eukaryota; Viridiplantae; Streptophyta; Magnoliopsida; Solanales; Solanaceae. The record is from RNAcentral.
AGAAACUAGAAUCUGAAGUUUCAUGAAAAAAACAACCAUGGAUUUCUACUAAAUCAACAAGCAAAUUUCGUUUUUGGUGAAGAUCAAGUUGCUCCUCUUGGUAAGUUUCUAAACUCGUUUUUAUACUAGACACCUACUAGUAUUUUCUACGUAUCUUUUUGUACAGAGCUCCGAUUUAAGUAAUCCAGGACUUUCUGGAAAGGUAUUUCAUAAAUAUAUAACUCUUAUGAAGGAACUAAAAUCUAGUUUUGUUGGUCUUUACUUGAAAAAGGAUCAGAAAGUACAGGGCAGGUGCUGUCCAGAUUUCCAGUUUUAGAAAUACUCCAUGUACGAACUAGGAAGCCAUUUUUAAUAUGGUUCUUGAUUCUCUUGUCUUUUGGGUUUUGACCCUACUUGAUUUGGGGCUUCGGUCCAUCUUGAUAUCUGAUUAUGCUUAGUGUGAUGGCAUGACGUACAUAUUGGGCGAAAAAUGGAUAUUUGGUAUACUCUCUUAAAUUGAUAGUAUACUCUUUCUAGACUCUUGAACAUUGUUAUUGAUAUUUGGAAAUACUUCUAAGUUUGAUAUUGAUAUGUUUGAUAUAUUUGUUCACUUGUUUUAAAUUAGGUUAAAUUGAGUUAACUAUGACUGAAAGGGGGAAUUGGAGAAUUUAAUGACUCCAAGCCUAAAGUUUAUACACCACUAAGCUUUAUGCUUAGCGAUAGUUAUUUUCUAUCGUAGGAAAUGUUCGGGAUGAAAUCUGAAGAUGGCCAGAGUGAAGUAGUCUUUUUGGGAGAAUUUAUGGAGAUCACAUUUGCAUAUGCACCUUGGUUUGCAUAGUUUUGGGAAAUGCACAUGAUGUACAUG